AGAAAUGAAUAAGUAGCAUACAGAUAUUCUUAUUAAAUUAGAUACCUCAAUAAAUCAAAAUCAAUCUCUGCCAUUAACUUUCUGGAAAUAAAUGAAGUUAGUGUAUUAUUUUUUUUCAGGUAUGAAAUUCCUGCUCAAUCUCUAGUUUUCACUUACUAUUGAGAAAUCAUAUAUAUAUAAAAGAGAAAAAAGUAGGAAUUUAUCUUAUAGCAUUAAUGGGUAAAACCCAUUAUGUAGUGCCUAUAGAUUCCUCUUAAGAAGCAGUUCAUUCAAAAAUGGACUAUAAUGUUCACCUGUCACUCUGAGAACUUUCUUCCUGGGUAUCAAUUUUCUUAUGAGAAGUGAGUAUAGAGUAACAGCAGCAUUGUUUGUCAAUGUCCUCCUGUGAUUGUUAGCAAUGCAUCCUUGCACAUAUUGUUUCAGACAAAAAAUUAGUAUUUUGCAUUAGAAGAGGAUAAUUAGGCAAUAAGAUACAAAAGCGAGUGUGGUUAUCAUGAGAUAAACACACACAUGGGGUGUUAUGAGGCACAGCCAAGUGUCUGUAAUCCCUCUAGGGUAUGAUUAUCUCGUGAUAACCACACACCCUGGAGUUGCCUUAUUGCUAUUAUAAAAUAUCUUUAUUAUAGGAAGAAAUGUGCAUUUUUGUGCAGAAAGGAGACGGAGCUGGCAAUUUAGAAUGCCGAACAGCAGUUUCAGCUGAGCUAUGUGGUUUACAUAGAUUAAUCUAUCCCAUUGGAAUGUUUCCCCAGCCAAAAAAAUGUUCCCUAAAUCCAAGCAGUCAUAAUCUGUAGUGAUGUGCAGCUAUUUGGAGCAUUUGAGAAAUUCCCUGCCUGGUUCUUAGGCUGUUGGUUUGAUGGUUGCAUGGGGUGAAUUCUGAGAUGCACAAUGACAAGAGGCUACAGUAUUGUGGAAGCUUGGUGUUCUGGGAACCCAAAUUGUGAUGCAUGCAAAUGUCAAAAUUCUGUACAAUAAUUUUAUCUGUUUUCUCGAUCAGAGUAAAUGUCUUAAAAUCCUUAUGAAAACAGCAUCUCACAACAGAAAUGUUCCUAAGGGAGAGAAAUUAUUAAGGUGGAAACAAGAAGAUGGAGAUGAAACUCAAAAUGGUGCGGAAGGAGUUGAUGAAUGUCACAGGACUCCUUGCAUUCAACCAUCUUCCAGUGUGACUGUUCUGGGAAUUGGCACUGAGCUUAUGGUGCCUUGUCACUACCAAUAGUGACUUCCAUUGAGUUAUUUCCUGCUACUGUCCUAUGAAGUAGGACCUGUGUGUCCAUGCCUGAUAAUGCUGGCCCCUCAUUCCACAACACUGGUCCUGAUGCCAGCUACACCUGCCCCAGCACCACUCAGAAAAUGGCAACAGCUGGAGCAGGUACCUUGAUCCCAGAGAUGGAAACCACAUAUCCAGGAUGAAUCUAGCAGCCUGCGUACUAAAGAUCCUGUGGACAAAGUGAAGCCUCCAGCCUUACUGUUAAUCUCUGAACUGUUAUGACAGGGAAACAGGCCUCAAAUUUGUUUGUUCCAUUCCAUUAUUGAGUAUUAUAGCAUUUGAUAUGUAUUCUUUUUUGUUAUUAUUAUUUUGAGAGGGGGGUGGGAGAGGGAGACAGAGAAUCUAAAGCAGGCUCUGCACUGUCAACAAAGAACCCAAUGUGGGGGUCUGUCUCACAAACUGCAAGAUCAUAACCUGAGCUGACAUCAAGAGUCAGAUGCUUAACCAAAUGAGCCACCCAGUCUCAUUCAAACCAAUAUAGUAUUGGUCUGUAUUCAAACCAUUAUAGUAGGGUUGAGAGGAGAAGAGACAUUUGAUAUUUUAUCAUAUACAGAAAGUGUAAUGUAUUGAAGAAUCCAAUCAUCUUUCUUUUUCUUAACAUUUCAAAUUUGUAUCUAAACUCUAGUUAAUAAACAGUGUAAUAUUAAUUUCAGUAUUAGAAUUUAGUGAUUCAUCACUUACAUACAACCUUUGUUUUGUUUCAGAUUCCACAUAUAAGUGACAUCAUGAGGUAUUUGUAUUUCUCCGUCUUAUUUCACUUAGCAUAUUGUCCUUUAGGCCCAUCCACGCUGUUGCAAAUGGCAAGAUCUCAUAUUUUGUAUUGAUCACCUAAUAUUCCAGUGCGUGCUUACGUGCGCUUAACACCCAGUGCUCAUCACAAGUUCCCUCCUUAAUACUCAUCACCCAUUUAGCCCUUCCUCCCCACGCCUCUCCAGCAACCCUUAGUUUGUUCUCUAUAC
Prionailurus viverrinus (fishing cat) is the source of this 2223-nucleotide long non-coding RNA. RefSeq lists it as uncharacterized. The transcript has 3 exons. The record is from RefSeq and is a predicted model, not a curated record. Lineage: Eukaryota; Metazoa; Chordata; Mammalia; Carnivora; Felidae.